Molecule: ribosomal RNA, 459 nt
Filed under: uncultured bacterium
Lineage: Bacteria
Description: partial 16S ribosomal RNA
Rfam family: Bacterial small subunit ribosomal RNA
Source: RNAcentral
CCUACGGGGGGCAGCAGUGAGGAAUAUUGGUCAAUGGCCGAGAGGCUGAACCAGCCAAGUCGCGUGAGGGAAGACGGCCCUACGGGUUGUAAACCUCUUUUGUCGGGGAGCAAAGCGAGUCACGUGUGACUCAUUGAGAGUACCCGAAGAAAAAGCAUCGGCUAACUCCGUGCCAGCAGCCGCGGUAAUACGGAGGAUGCGAGCGUUAUCCGGAUUUAUUGGGUUUAAAGGGUGCGCAGGCGGAGGUGCAAGUCAGCGGUCAAAUUGCGGGGCUCAACCCCGUACUGCCGUUGAAACUGCAUGCCUUGAGUGCGCGAGAAGUAGGCGGAAUGCGUGGUGUAGCGGUGAAAUGCAUAGAGAUCACGCAGAACUCCGAUGGCGAAGGCAGCAUACCGGCGCGCAACUGACGCUCAUGCACGAAAGCGUGGGUAUCGAACAGGAUUAGAUACCCGUGUAGUC